CCCCCACUACUCGUUCGCCGAGGUCCUCCAGGGUUUAGAAUCAAUAUGAAUACGCCCGCGAAGCGCGCUCGCUGCUGACUUCACUUCCACGCGAAUUCCCGGCGCCGAGGUCCGCGAGACGGCGACGUACCCUCGCGCGAGUAAAACCGCCCGCGCAACCGAGCGAGCUGUGUGUGACGUCUGAGCCGUCGUCGUCGUCGUCGUCGUCAUCAUCUCCUAAGCUCAUACAUAUCCACGCACGUGCACACACACAUACACACACGUAACACACGAACGGGAUCGAAGCAGAUCGAACAAGACGAACGGGGUCUCGAUGUAAUAUCGCGCGGAGUAGAGUGGCGAACAGCCACCUUUGUAGGACGCGAAAGCCACAGAGCGAAACAGAAGAGAGAAACCGGUGGCGAGCACGAGGAAAAAGAAAGAGAGAGAGAGAGAGAGAGAGAGAGAGAGACUUGCGUCUCUCCGGUAACCACGACUCCACGGAAAAGCACGACGAAUUGCAGGAAUUCGCGAAGGAACGUCGCAAAGGAGCCAUCGCAGGCAAUCGGUGGAUCGGUGAAUCUCGCAAGCGAGAGAAUCAUAUUGGGGCUGAUUUUCGGUCGGUCGGUCGAUCGGUCGACGAGACGAAGUGUCGAAGUCGAGUAGACAAGAGGAAGAAGUAAAAGAGAGGAAUGAUAGAGUCACGCUAGUGUGCGAACAGAUUCACGAGCGAUCAAACGCGCACAAAGUGUCGCGCGGGAUCGAGAGACAGAGGAAGAAAAAGAGGGCGAGAGAGAGAGAGAGAGAGAGAGAGAGAGAGAGAGAGAGAGAGAGUGAGUGAGAGAAAAUAGAAAGAAAAAGAAAGGAAAGAGAGGGUGUUCGAUCACAGUCAGGUGACGAGGUCGAUCGGGCAACGAUGGCAGUGAACACUUUCUCGACGGCAAUGCACAGCACCGAUUUUGCCACUACGUGCACUACAUCUGCGCCCUGGACCGAGGCGUCACUACCGCCCGAAGACGAGGAGGAGAAUAUCCUGCAUAUCGGCGGCAUCUUUCCGAUCGCCGGCGAAGGCGGCUGGCAAGGCGGUCAGGCUUGCAUGCCAGCCGCGCACCUGGCCUUAGAGGACGUUAAUCGCGAGAAGAACUUGCUACGCGGAUACAGGCUGCAUCUUCAUUCCAACGACAGCGAGUGCGAGCCCGGUCUCGGCGCGUCCGUGAUGUACAACUUGCUGUACUUCCCACCCUAUAAAUUAAUGCUGCUAGCCGGCUGCAGCACGGUCUGCACCACGGUCGCCGAGGCGGCGAAAAUGUGGAAUCUAGUGGUGCUCUGUUACGGUGCGUCGUCGCCGGCGUUGUCCGAUCGAAAUCGAUUCCCGACCCUCUUCAGGACGCAUCCAUCCGCCACCGUGCACAAUCCCACGAGAAUCAAAUUGCUGCAAAAGUUCGGCUGGUCCCGGGUUGCAAUAUUACAACAAGCCGAGGAAGUGUUCAUAUCGACCGUCGAAGACCUGGAAGCGCGGUGUAAAGAAGCCGGAAUCGAGAUAGUCACACGGCAGAGCUUCCUCUCGGACCCGACGGACGCGGUGAAGAACUUACGCCGUCAGGAUGCGCGGAUAGUCGUCGGCCUGUUCUAUGUGGUGGCCGCGAGGAGGGUACUCUGCGAGCUCUAUCAUCAGAAGCUGUACGGCAAAACCUACGUAUGGUUCUUCAUAGGUUGGUACGAGGACGACUGGUUCGAGAUCAAUUUGGAGAAGGAAGGCAUCAGCUGCACGAAGGAGCAGAUGCGCAUGGCGGCGGAGGGUCACCUCACUACCGAAGCACUCAUGUGGAAUCAGAACAACGACACGACAAUCAGCGGUAUGACCGCCGAGGACUUCAGGAAGCGGCUGAACAAAUUGCUGAAGGACGAUGGCUACGACAUCGACAACAAUCGGUAUCCGGAAGGAUACCAGGAAGCACCGCUCGCCUACGACGCGGUCUGGUCCGUCGCGUUGGCGUUCAACAGAACCAUGGAGCGGCUGAGCAAGAUGGGAAGGAACCUGAAGAACUUCACUUACGAAAACAAAGAGAUCGCCGACGAGAUAUACGCGGCGGUAAACUCGACCCAAUUCCUCGGAGUUUCCGGUCACGUAGCGUUCAGCUCGCAGGGCGACAGGAUCGCCUUGACGCAGAUCGAGCAGGUGAUCGACGGCAAGUACGUGAAGCUGGGCUACUACGACACGCAGAGCGACAAUCUGACGUGGCGGAACGUAGAGCGAUGGAUCGGCGGCAAGGUGCCGCAGGACAGAACGAUAAUAAGAACCGUCUUGAGAACGGUGUCACUGCCCUUAUUCAUAAGUAUGGCAACCUUGUCAGCGCUUGGUGUCGUGAUAGCCAUCGGAUUGAUCAUAUUUAACGUCUAUAAUAGGCACCGGAGAGUCAUAUACUCGUCUCAUCCCACCGCCAAUACGAUAAUGCUGGUGGGCAUAAUAGGCUGUUUCCUGGCGGUGUUGUUUAUUGGGAUUGAUGGUAGGUUCGUGACGCCCUGGCAAUUCCUGAUAAUUUGCCAAGCGAGAGCGUGGACGAUGUCGACCGGAUUCACCUUGGCGUUCGGUGCCAUGUUCAGCAAAGUAUGGAGGGUCCACCGGCUCUCCACGAAAGCGAAGGCCGAUCAAGGCAAAUCAUUGACGGCUAAACAAAAGGUUUCGUCUAUACAGAAGAAGAUUGAGCCGUGGAAGCUGUACGUAAUGCUGAGCGGAUUAUUGUCGGUGGACAUCAUCCUGCUGGUCACUUGGCAAGUGGUUGAUCCGCUGCGUCGAAAAAUCGAGACCUUCUCACUGGAGUUACCUCCGUUUGGAGACGAGGACGCGAUGAUUAAACCCGAAUUAGAACACUGCUCGAGCGAACACUACGGCCUGUGGAUCGGUUUGAUCUACGGCUACAAAGGUAUCGUCCUGGCUUUCGGGCUCUUUCUGUCCUACGAGACGAGAAGCAUCAAAAUCAAACUGAUCAAUGACUCCAGAUACGUGGGAAUGUCGAUAUAUAAUAUCGUAGUUCUGUGUCUCAUAACGGUACCUGUGAUAAUGGUCAUCUCCAGCCAGCAGGACGCGAGUUACGCAUUCUCGGCGUUAGCCACUAUCUUCUGUUGCUUCCUUAGCAUGGCGCUCAUCUUCGUGCCGAAAGUAAUCGAGGUGAUCAGGCAUCCCCGCGACAAAUCCGAGUCGAGGUAUAACCCGGACGGUGCGGUAUCCAAGGAGGAGGAGGAGAAGUAUCAAAAACUACUCAACGAAAACGACGAGCUUCAAAAACUCAUCGCUGCGAAGGAGGAGAAGAUCCAAGCCAUCAAGCAGAAGCUGGCGGAGCGCGACGCCCUGAAGGGAGCCGGUACGAGCCGUUGCAGGCAGGGUCAGUCCAAGCAGUCCUUCAUCGUCGCGGAUUAUCCGACCGGCGAGGGGACGUCGGACAGUGCUAUCGGUGGGGGUAUUUCUAUAUGUACAAAAUCCUCUCGCGCUUCCGCUUCUGACGUUGAGUUUUCAGAGACGUACUUAUAAUCCCUCUCCGGCGAAUGUAAAGUCACAACCGCAACCAUGGAAUGUGUUUCUCUCGCUCUCGCUUUCGCUCUCUCAUUCUCUCGCUCUCGGCAACGCAUUUGGGACCCAAAACCCUUUCCGGUCGAUCACGAUGACUAUCGUUCUCGUCUCUAAAUCUCCAAUCGAAAAACUCUCGAAAGCAUCAAUUGCCGCACGCAGCACGUCGCCGAAAUGUACGAACUGCACCGACUAUGAUGCCAAAGCAAUACACGCCACCCACAUGACGCACAUACACACAAACACGCACACACAACACACGGACACACACAUACGGAACGAGCGGUUCGUCGCUCGCGUCGCGACAAAACUCUCUUCUAAAACUAGUGUUAAAACCUACGUGCACGGUCAAUAUGCGAUUGUAAUAACGAAUUUCGGGACACGCCAAAAAAGAGAGAAAAUAGAAUAAAAGAAGAAGUGAGAAUGACUCUUGAAAGUGUCGAGGCACGAUUCCGCAAGCGGCUAGAGUAGCCAUUUGUCGCGUGCUCUAACGUGUAAGUUAAAUCUAUAGCGUGUGGAAUUGUUUUAUAUGUUUCGAUACGGAAAUUGCGAUUCGACUGCGCCUUACGAAGGAGAAACAGAACAAAGAGAGGAAAGGAGAAAGGAGAGAAAAUACAAGGGAGGCGUGCGUGAGUCGCACGCACGAUUAGAUUCACGCGUGAUAACGCAGGCAUUCGAAGAUUGCGAAGAUCAUAUCCACGAUUUGCAAUCGGAAAUUCGUAAAUCUCCCGUUUAUCGUAUUUACCAGCGCGCCUAUCCACCCACAGUAUUUUUUACUGUACUCAUUUGAUCAACUGCCGCGCAAACGGCGCUUAAGUCUAGCAUUAUACAUACAUAUAUACAUAUAUAUAUAUAUAUAUAUAUAUAUAUAUAUAUAUAUUAUUAUAUAUAUACAUAAUAGACCUAUCGAACUGUUGACGAAAGUAUCACAUAUAUGUACGUUAGAUUAUGGAGAUAUUUAUUUUUAAGUUUUUGAAUUAUAAAAAAUCCGUUAAAAAUAAUGAAGGCUCUAUCCAUUAUUGAACCCUGAGAUUGUCUACAAUUAGUGAAGCGCGAAUCGCACAAUGAGCGACGAUCGUGUAAUACGAACGUUCGUAUAUAAAUAUAUAUUAUCUCUACGUUGUUUUUAGAUUGGAGAUUUUAAUAAAGGAACUUAGAAAGCAA
This is an RNA transcript of Harpegnathos saltator (Jerdon's jumping ant), 4708 nucleotides long. It is a transcript of the gene named gamma-aminobutyric acid type B receptor subunit 1, with no coding region annotated. Lineage: Eukaryota; Metazoa; Arthropoda; Insecta; Hymenoptera; Formicidae. The record is from RefSeq and is a predicted model, not a curated record. The transcript has 13 exons.